UCCGGCAAAAGUAGCCGUAGUAGAACUGUAUUGCAACUAAAGAGGAAGUAGUUUUGAGUAUUGUGAUAAUUCUGUCCAACUGUUAUUAUUACGGAGUAUAGAAAACACAACUGAUCAGCGUGAUGCCAGCCCAUCCCUCUGUGAGGGAACCCGAGGAGGAGAUGGAGGCGGAGGGAGAGAGUGAGCUGCCCGAUGCCAACGGAGAGAUGGAAGAAGAGAGGGACAGGGAGGGAGGGGGAGUUGCAGGGGAGGAGACCAUGGAGGAAAGCACGGAGGAGAGGGAGAGCGACUUAGACGAGAGCGAGGAGGAGGAAGAGGAGGAGGAAAGUUCCGAGAUGGAUGAGGAGGACUGUGAGAGGAGAAGGGGGGAGUGUCUGGAUGAGAUGUCAGACCUGGAGAAACAGUUCCUGGAACUCAAAGACCAGCUGUUCCAUGAGCGGUUGAACCAGGUCAAGGUGAAGCUUGAUGAGGUGUUAACGGGUAAAGCUGGAGAAUACAGAGAACCCCUGGCAACUCUUCAACGCAACAUGACACUACGUACCCAGGUCGCAGGUGUGUACCGAGAACUGUGUCUGCAGGUGAUCAAACACAAGUAUGAGUGUGAGCUACAGGGAGCCCGACAACAUCUAGAGAGCGAGAGGACGUUGCUGUUUGAUGCCAUGAAAACAGAGCUGCUGGACAAGAUCGGUAGACUGGAGGAGGACAGGCAAAGUGUUGAUCUUACUUCAGAGUGGUGGAAGGAUGUGGUGAAGGAGAAGAGGUGUAAAAGGCGGAGUCUGCUGGCCCGGUCGGAGAGGAAGAAGAAGGCAGCCCUGGUGUCUGGUCCAUUCAUUGUGUACAUGUUGAGAGACAUUGACAUCCUGGAAGACUGGGCUGCUAUCAAGAAGGCUCAAGCAGCACUGACGCCACUUAAGAAGAAAUCUGACAGAAGCCUUGUGGAUGUGACACCCUGCUCGUGAAGACAACUUCUGACAUGUUCUCCAGGAAGCCAUGUGGAUAUGAAACCCUGCUCGUGAAGACAACUUCUGACAUGUUCUCCAGGAAGCCAUGUGGAUGUGAAACCCUGCUUGUGAAGACAACUUCUGACAUGUUCUCCAGGAAGCCAAGAGACACCCGCUGAGUCGUGUCCUAUAAUGUUUGAUAAGGUCGGGGAACACAAAAAAUUCAAGAUCGUUCCUCCGUACAGAAACUCCCCAGAGUCCUCCGAUCAAAAUGUUGAACAGGGAGGACAGGACAUGGGGGCAAUGAAGGAGAGAACAAAGUUUAAGCACAAGAUAAUGACAUCACAGUAAACAUUACACACACAAACAUUUUUAAAAGGAUUAAGUGCUUUCAAAUGUCAUUAUUAGCUAGGGACAGUGUUGUAACAAUUUUCUCUCUCUUCGUUCUUCGUCUCCCUCUCUCUCCCAGAGCGGUGAUAAGACAAAAGUGGGCCUCCGUCCUCCAAACGAACCUCAACCAAAAUCCCGGAGCUGCCGAACGGAACCCGGGACCACGGGAGUGUCUUGACCACAGCACAGUCUGGAACUGCCAUAGAGAUGGUUGGAGGCCUGUGGUGACCAAAUGGCCGUUCUGGCACGGGCAGCACCAUUGAGGGCUUUCACAAUUUUUUUCGUUGUCCACUGGGUGGGACUUCGGACACCGCUGUCCGAUAACCCUGCUGGAGUCAUCUCCAUCUGGCUCAACGGCAGGGGUCAUCUGGGCUCCAGAUUGGCCGGCACCGUCUGGUUUCGGUGGGUUAGUAGUUGAAUCGCGUCGCCUUGCCUCAUUGCUCUCUGGUGACUCCUUUUGGCGGCUCGGGCACUUGUGGGCUCGUUCAAGGUAAAAGACCGGGGACUGUGUUCCCUCCGGCGCAUAAGGAGCAAGGUCUAGACGUCUUGGUUGAGUGAGCAACGUGAUAAGAAGCGGAAUGGCACCGGAUGUGCUUCGGAGGACGCUCGCUUCGUCAUCGACUUUUGCGGGUCCGCUGGGAAUUGCGGCGAUGAGGCAGGAGUCAUGGAAAAAAAGAAAAAGUUAUAAUAAUAAUCUAAAAAGAAUGAAUCGACCAGAUGUUUAAAGGAAAACUUAAAAAUGUAAAUUGUCCCAAUGGUGCUGCCAUAGCUCACAGAUUUCACAACAAUCACUGUGUGUUUCAGUCCGGAUCAGAACAGUCAAAUUCAGCCCGCCACAUUAUGAAUAUCACCAGGCUUUGCUCGGUUUCUCCAUUGCUGAACGUGUAAUUAUCCCCCCCAUCAUUAUAUAUGACUGAGCUAUGAAUUAUACCUUUUGCUUUCCUUGUCUGACCCCCACAACGUGUAUGUUUUCAUUUAAAUACAUUUUGAAAAAGGUUGAAAUUGCCGUCUCGGUGACUGUGAUGACAAGCUUGGUGACAGCCCCCGGUUAGGCCUGGACACCAAAAGACCUGUUGAUUUGCACUUCACAAAAAAAAGCCCAUUACAUUUUUCUCUGGUGAAAAGAGGUAUUUUCUUACAAAAAGGGAGAAAGUAAAAAAAAAUAAAACUUUGGAUCCCGAAAUCACCACCCGUUUUUCCGUCAGGGUUAGUUUCCAGGGAGAAGGUCCAGGUGUAAAAAUCUUUUUGCGUACUGAAAGGCCCUUGUAGGUCUGGGUGGUUGAGGAAACCAGGUCAGUUCACUACAAGCUUCCUGCUGUAACUUAUGUGAUCACUACGGUUACUACUGUAAUGUGUACAGUUGCCACGGCUACCGCUGCCGACUGUCACUUAACCAAGUGUAUUAUUUAAGAUUAUUUUAUUCUUAUAAAGACCAUGUAUUUAUAACGAUUUAAUAAAAAUAAUUGCGUGUUAAA
Esox lucius (northern pike) is the source of this 2806-nucleotide RNA transcript. It is a transcript of the gene named BRMS1 transcriptional repressor and anoikis regulator, with no coding region annotated. NCBI's taxonomy places the organism in Eukaryota, Metazoa, Chordata, Actinopteri, Esociformes, Esocidae. The record is from RefSeq and is a predicted model, not a curated record. The transcript has 12 exons.